This 449-nucleotide ribosomal RNA is filed under the name uncultured eukaryote. Its description in RNAcentral is "partial 18S ribosomal RNA". It matches the Rfam family "Eukaryotic small subunit ribosomal RNA", at positions 144 to 549 of the family's 1831-position model. The record is from RNAcentral.
UAACGGUGGUAAUUCUAGAGCUAAUACAUGCCGACGGGCGCUGACCCCCUUCGCGGGGGGGAUGCGUGCAUUUAUCAGAUCAAAACCAACCCGGUCAGCCCCUCUCCGGCCCCGGCCGGGGGGCGGGCGCCGGCGGCUUUGGUGACUCUAGAUAACCUCGGGCCGAUCGCACGCCCCCCGUGGCGGCGACGACCCAUUCGAACGUCUGCCCUAUCAACUUUCGAUGGUAGUCGCCGUGCCUACCAUGGUGACCACGGGUGACGGGGAAUCAGGGUUCGAUUCCGGAGAGGGAGCCUGAGAAACGGCUACCACAUCCAAGGAAGGCAGCAGGCGCGCAAAUUACCCACUCCCGACCCGGGGAGGUAGUGACGAAAAAUAACAAUACAGGACUCUUUCGAGGCCCUGUAAUUGGAAUGAGUCCACUUUAAAUCCUUUAACGAGGAUCCAUU